This 483-nucleotide ribosomal RNA is filed under the name uncultured bacterium. RNAcentral describes it as "partial 16S ribosomal RNA". It matches the Rfam family "Bacterial small subunit ribosomal RNA", at positions 28 to 507 of the family's 1533-position model. The record is from RNAcentral.
GAUGAACGCUAGCGGCAGGCCUAAUACAUGCAAGCCGAACGGCAAGUUUGAUAGCAAUAUUGGACCUCGAGUGGCGCAAGGGUGCGUAACACGUAUGCAACCUGCCCUCGACAGGAGGAUAGCUCCCCGAAAGGGGAAUUAACACUCCAUAACACCAUGAGAAGGCAUCUGAGUAUUGUUAAACUGCAAGGGUUCGCGGAUGGGCAUGCGGUUGAUUAGCUAGUUGGCGGGGUAAAGGCUCACCAAGCCUGUGAUCAAUAGGGGUUCUGAGAGGAGGGUCCCGAGCACUGGCACUGCGAUACGGGCCAGACGCCUACGGGAGGCAGCAGUAGGGAAUAUGAGACAAUGGAUGCUACACUGAGCCAGCAAGGCCGAGUGCAGGAAGACGGCCUUCUGAGUCGUAACCUGCUUUUGCCUGUGGAUAAAAUACCCGUGCGCGGGGAAUUGAAGGUAACAGGUAAAUAAGCCACGGCUAACUACGUG